GAUCCUACGGGGCGCAGCAGUGGGGAAUAUUGCACAAUGGGGGAAACCCUGAUGCAGCGACGCCGCGUGAGCGAAGAAGUAUUUCGGUAUGUAAAGCUCUAUCAGCAGGGAAGUAAAUGACGGUACCUGACUAAGAAGCCCCGGCUAACUACGUGCCAGCAGCCGCGGUAAUACGUAGGGGGCAAGCGUUAUCCGGAUUUACUGGGUGUAAAGGGAGCGUAGACGGCAUAGCAAGUCUGAUGUGAAAGAUCGUGGCUCAACCCCGGGCCUGCAUUGGAAACUGUUAAGCUGGAGUACA
RNAcentral lists this ribosomal RNA (298 nucleotides) under uncultured bacterium. Its description in RNAcentral is "partial 16S ribosomal RNA". It matches the Rfam family "Bacterial small subunit ribosomal RNA", at positions 335 to 650 of the family's 1533-position model. The record is from RNAcentral.